CCUACGGGAGGCAGCAGUGAGGAAUAUUGGUCAAUGGACGAGAGUCUGAACCAGCCAAGUAGCGUGAAGGAUGACUGCCCUAUGGGUUGUAAACUUCUUUUAUAAAGGAAUAAAACGAGGCACGUGUGCCUUUUUGCAUGUACUUUAUGAAUAAGGAUCGGCUAACUCCGUGCCAGCAGCCGCGGUAAUACGGAGGAUCCGAGCGUUAUCCGGAUUUAUUGGGUUUAAAGGGAGCGUAGAUGGGUUGUUAAGUCAGUUGUGAAAGUUUGCGGCUCAACCGUAAAAUUGCAAUUGAUACUGGCAGUCGUGAGUACAGUUGAGAUAAGCGGAAUUCGUGGUGUAGCGGUGAAAUGCUUAGAGAUCACGAAGAACCCCGAUUGCGAAGGCAGCUUACUAAACUGUGACUGACAUUGAUGCUCGAAAGUGUGGGUAUCAAACAGGAUUAGAUACCCGUGUAGUC
RNAcentral lists this ribosomal RNA (460 nucleotides) under uncultured bacterium. RNAcentral's name for it is "partial 16S ribosomal RNA". It matches the Rfam family "Bacterial small subunit ribosomal RNA", at positions 338 to 795 of the family's 1533-position model. The record is from RNAcentral.